AGACCCGAAACCCGGUGAUCUAGCCAUGGGCAGGUUGAAGGUUGGGUAACACUAACUGGAGGACCGAACCGACUAAUGUUGAAAAAUUAGCGGAUGACCUGUGGCUGGGGGUGAAAGGCCAAUCAAACCGGGAGAUAGCUGGUUCUCCCCGAAAGCUAUUUAGGUAGCGCCUCGUGAAUUCAUCUCCGGGGGUAGAGCACUGUUUCGGCUAGGGGGCCAUCCCGGCUUACCAACCCGAUGCAAACUGCGAAUACCGGAGAAUGUUAUCACGGGAGACACACGGCGGGUGCUAACGUCCGUCGUGAAGAGGGAAACAACCCAGACCGCCAGCUAAGGUCCCAAAGUCAUGGUUAAGUGGGAAACGAUGUGGGAAGGCCCAGACAGCCAGGAUGUUGGCUUAGAAGCAGCCAUCAUUUAAAGAAAGCGUAAUAGCUCACUGGUCGAGUCGGCCUGCGCGGAAGAUGUAACGGGGCUAAACCAUGCACCGAAGCUGCGGCAGCGACGCUGAUGCGUUGUUGGGUAGGGGAGCGUUCUGUAAGCCUGCGAAGGUGACCUGUGAGGGUUGCUGGAGGUAUCAGAAGUGCGAAUGCUGACAUAAGUAACGAUAAAGCGGGUGAAAAGCCCGCUCGCCGGAAGACCAAGGGUUCCUGUCCAACGUUAAUCGGGGCAGGGUGAGUCGACCCCUAAGGCGAGGCCGAAAGGCGUAGUCGAUGGGAAACGGGUUAAUAUUCCCGUA
This 736-nucleotide ribosomal RNA is filed under the name Salmonella enterica subsp. enterica serovar Heidelberg. Its description in RNAcentral is "partial 23S ribosomal RNA". It matches the Rfam family "Bacterial large subunit ribosomal RNA", at positions 711 to 1443 of the family's 2925-position model. The record is from RNAcentral. Lineage: Bacteria; Pseudomonadati; Pseudomonadota; Gammaproteobacteria; Enterobacterales; Enterobacteriaceae.